GAUUAAAGAUAAAGAAAAAC
Molecule: small RNA, 20 nt
Filed under: Arabidopsis thaliana (thale cress)
Lineage: Eukaryota; Viridiplantae; Streptophyta; Magnoliopsida; Brassicales; Brassicaceae
Description: ATSL008840
Source: RNAcentral